CACAUGGGCAGGCAGGGUGUCUGCUGUCAUCACAGACAGUUCUAGAGGUGCCCCCAACAGAGCGGCUCAGCUGUGGCAUAGGGCCAAAAACAGUGGAACAUUUCUUCAUUGCAGGUUGCUCUGCACAGAGGAGGUAAAAUGAUUUCCUGCUGGCUCUGUAAGUCGGGAUCUCAGCAGCCUGAGGCAGGGAGUAAGUUAAUGCUGUGAUGUUCUGAUUCUGAUGCAACGCAAAGGGCAGCAGACUGCUGGGUAAUGAUGAAGGCUUCUUACGCAACAUCCUAGAUGUUACACCCCUGUGGAUGCAGAAGUAAUCACGCAAGCACAGAUCCCAAAGGUUUUUUAAAAAGGUGUCUGCAGGAAAACACAUCUUGAAUACAUCAGGAGCAUCCCAACACUCAGACUGUGCUCUUCACAUCUACAGUAAGAUUCACCUGUCUCACAUGCUGAGGUUAAUUGAAGAUUUGAACAUAAUUACUGCAUCCCAAGUGCUCCACAGCUGGUGUCCAGAAGUUGAAGGACAAAGCUAA
This 527-nucleotide long non-coding RNA is filed under the name Cyanistes caeruleus (blue tit). Its description in RNAcentral is "lncRNA (ENSCCEG00000009849.1)". Lineage: Eukaryota; Metazoa; Chordata; Aves; Passeriformes; Paridae. The record is from RNAcentral.